UCCCGCGUAGCUCAACGGCAGAGCACUCGGCUGUUAACCGAGGGGUUGUUGGUUCGAAUCCAACCGCGGGAG
This 72-nucleotide transfer RNA is filed under the name Streptosporangiales bacterium. RNAcentral describes it as "tRNA-Asn". It matches the Rfam family "tRNA". Rfam says of the family: Transfer RNA (tRNA) molecules are approximately 80 nucleotides in length. Their secondary structure includes four short double-helical elements and three loops (D, anti-codon, and T loops). Further hydrogen bonds mediate the characteristic L-shaped molecular structure. tRNAs have two regions of fundamental functional importance: the anti-codon, which is responsible for specific mRNA codon recognition, and the 3' end, to which the tRNAs corresponding amino acid is attached (by aminoacyl-tRNA synthetases). tRNAs cope with the degeneracy of the genetic code in two manners: having more than one tRNA (with a specific anti-codon) for a particular amino acid; and 'wobble' base-pairing, i.e. permitting non-standard base-pairing at the 3rd anti-codon position. The record is from RNAcentral. Lineage: Bacteria; Bacillati; Actinomycetota; Actinomycetes; Streptosporangiales.